This 844-nucleotide ribosomal RNA is filed under the name Mycobacterium sp. Its description in RNAcentral is "bacterial SSU rRNA". It matches the Rfam family "Bacterial small subunit ribosomal RNA", at positions 56 to 916 of the family's 1533-position model. The record is from RNAcentral. Lineage: Bacteria; Bacillati; Actinomycetota; Actinomycetes; Mycobacteriales; Mycobacteriaceae.
UGCAGUCGAACGGAAAGGCCCUUCGGGGUACUCGAGUGGCGAACGGGUGAGUAACACGUGGGUGAUCUGCCCUGCACUUCGGGAUAAGCCUGGGAAACUGGGUCUAAUACCGGAUAUACCUCAUGGGAUGCAUGUUUUGUGGGGGAAAGCUUUUGCGGUGUGGGAUGGGCCCGCGGCCUAUCAGCUUGUUGGUGGGGUGAUGGCCUACCAAGGCGACGACGGGUAGCCGGCCUGAGAGGGUGUCCGGCCACACUGGGACUGAGAUACGGCCCAGACUCCUACGGGAGGCAGCAGUGGGGAAUAUUGCACAAUGGGCGCAAGCCUGAUGCAGCGACGCCGCGUGGGGGAUGACGGCCUUCGGGUUGUAAACCCCUUUCAGCACAGACGAAGCGCAAGUGACGGUAUGUGCAGAAGAAGCACCGGCCAACUACGUGCCAGCAGCCGCGGUAAUACGUAGGGUGCGAGCGUUGUCCGGAAUUACUGGGCGUAAAGAGCUCGUAGGUGGUUUGUCGCGUUGUUCGUGAAAACUCACAGCUUAACUGUGGGCGUGCGGGCGAUACGGGCAGACUGGAGUACUGCAGGGGAGACUGGAAUUCCUGGUGUAGCGGUGGAAUGCGCAGAUAUCAGGAGGAACACCGGUGGCGAAGGCGGGUCUCUGGGCAGUAACUGACGCUGAGGAGCGAAAGCGUGGGGAGCGAACAGGAUUAGAUACCCUGGUAGUCCACGCCGUAAACGGUGGGUACUAGGUGUGGGUUUCCUUCCUUGGGAUCCGUGCCGUAGCUAACGCAUUAAGUACCCCGCCUGGGGAGUACGGCCGCAAGGCUAAAACUCAAGGAAUUGACGG